RNAcentral lists this ribosomal RNA (514 nucleotides) under uncultured Glomeromycotina. RNAcentral's name for it is "SSU rRNA". It matches the Rfam family "Eukaryotic small subunit ribosomal RNA", at positions 568 to 1083 of the family's 1831-position model. The record is from RNAcentral. Lineage: Eukaryota; Fungi; Glomeromycota.
CAGCAGCCGCGGUAAUUCCAGCUCCAAUAGCGUAUAUUAAAGUUGUUGCAGUUAAAAAGCUCGUAGUUGAAUUUCGGGGUUAGUAGGUUGGUCGUGCCUUUGGUAUGUACUGGCUUUACUGAUUCCUCCUUUUUGAAGAACNGUAAUGUCAUUAAUUUGGUGUUGCAGGGACACAGGACUGUUACUUUGAAAAAAUUAGAGUGUUUAAAGCAGGCCAACGCUUGAAUACAUUAGCAUGGAAUAAUGAAAUAGGACGUUUNAUCCUAUUUUGUUGGUUUCUAGGAUUGACGUAAUGAUUAAUAGGGAUAGUUGGGGGCAUUAGUAUUCAAUUGUCAGAGGUGAAAUUCUUGGAUUUAUUGAAGACUAACUACUGCGAAAGCAUUUGCCAAGGAUGUUUUCAUUAAUCAAGAACGAAAGUUAGGGGAUCGAAGACGAUCAGAUACCGUCGUAGUCUUAACCAUAAACUAUGCCGACUAGGGAUCGGAUGAUGUUAAUUUUUUAAUGACUCAUUCGG